RNAcentral lists this ribosomal RNA (329 nucleotides) under uncultured eukaryote. Its description in RNAcentral is "partial 18S ribosomal RNA". It matches the Rfam family "Eukaryotic small subunit ribosomal RNA", at positions 1470 to 1796 of the family's 1831-position model. The record is from RNAcentral.
CCCUUAGAUGUUCUGGGCUGCACGCGCGCUACACUGACGUACGCAACGAGUGUCCUUUACCGAGAGGUAUGGGUAAUCAUUUGAGUGUACGUCGUGAUGGGGAUAGAAUAUUGUAAUUAUUACUCUUCAACGAGGAAUUCCUAGUAAGCGCAAGUCAGCAGCUUGCGCUGAUUACGUCCCUGCCCUUUGUACACACCGCCCGUCGCUACUACCGAUUGAACGGUUUAGUGAGGGCCUCGGAUUGGUCUCGGCCCGCUCUUUACCGGGCGGCGCCGUUGGUCGAGAAGACGCUCGAACUUGAUCGUUUAGAGGAAGUAAAAGUCGUAACA